Sabethes cyaneus is the source of this 1277-nucleotide RNA transcript. It is a transcript of the gene named troponin I, with no coding region annotated. The record is from RefSeq and is a predicted model, not a curated record. The transcript is spliced from 8 exons. Lineage: Eukaryota; Metazoa; Arthropoda; Insecta; Diptera; Culicidae.
CUUUAUUCUUCGGAUUGAUCAGUAUUCUUUCCGAGGUCUGAGCGCUUGUGAUUCACUCUUCCUUUUUUCUGUAGUUUUGAGACUUAGCUCCUAACCAACACCACCACCAACAACAACCAUGGCUGAUGAUGAAGCAAAGAAGGCCAAGCAGGCCGAAAUCGAGCGCAAGCGCGCUGAAGUGCGCAAGCGUAUGGAGGAGGCCUCGAAGGCAAAGAAGGCCAAGAAAGGUUUCAUGACUCCAGAGAGAAAGAAGAAACUGAGGUUGUUGUUGCGUAAGAAAGCCGCCGAAGAACUGAAGAAGGAACAGGAGCGUAAAGCAGCGGAACGUAGGCGCAUCAUUGAGGAACGAUGCGGCAAGCCCAAAAACAUCGAAGAUGCCAAUGAAGACGUUUUGAAAGACAUUGUUAAAGAAUAUUUCAACCGUAUGUAUACAUGUGAAGGCCAAAAAUGGGAUUUGGAAUUCGAAGUCCGGAAAAGAGAUUGGGAGAUUUCCGACCUCAACGCUCAAGUCAACGACCUUCGCGGUAAAUUCGUCAAGCCAACGCUGAAGAAGGUCUCCAAAUACGAGAACAAAUUCGCCAAGCUGCAGAAGAAGGCCGCCGAAUUCAACUUCCGCAACCAGCUCAAGGUUGUCAAAAAGAAGGAAUUCACCCUGGAAGAGGAAGACAAGGAGGCUAAGAAAUCGGAGAAGGCUGACUGGCAGAAGAAGUAGAGCGAGGGGGAACAAACUCACUUUUCUUUUAGUUAUCUUUUUGUAUAUUUAAAAUUAACUAGAAAAACCUCUACGUCUAUUUAUCAGUUUUGACCAUUUUUACUGUUAAUAUCCAAACCGUAAGAGUUAAUACUCACGAUUUGCUGCAAACCAUGAUCAGUAAUUUAUCAACUGUGCAAAACCAGAAACUCACUGCGAAUAAAAAGAAUCGUCUUAUGGAAACUAUUUAAACAUAAUUAUAAAAGAAAGCGAGUUUUGUUGUUCAGCAGUUCAAAAUUCCCUGAGAAAUAGUAAAAUAUCGAAAAACGAAUGCAUAGGUAAUGAAGGUAUUCACUUACUUAAGUUAUACUUUGAACCCCAAUCCUCGUAACCCCUUUUACUCAAAUGUUUCCAAUUAAACAAUUGCCAAAGCUCUACGCAAAAGGUUCCAAUUGUGUGUCGCGACAAAAAAGCAAUAAACUGUCAAAUUUCCUCAAACCGCGCACAGUCACAGAAGAAACCCGAUUGGUCCAAAAAGGGAGACGCCAAGGUAAAAGAAGAGACGACCGAAGCGGUUGAUGCCGAG